UCAUCUUCGGGGGUAGAGCACUGUUUCGGCUAGGGGGUCAUCCCGACUUACCAACCCGAUGCAAACUACGAAUACCGAAGAAUGUUAUCACGGGAGACACACGGCGGGUGCUAACGUCCGUCGUGAAGAGGGAAACAACCCAGACCGCCAGCUAAGGUCCCAAAGUCAUGGUUAAGUGGGAAACGAUGUGGGAAGGCACAGACAGCCAGGAUGUUGGCUUAGAAGCAGCCAUCAUUUAAAGAAAGCGUAAUAGCUCACUGGUCGAGUCGGCCUGCGCGGAAGAUGUAACGGGGCUAAACCAUGCACCGAAGCUGCGGCAGCGACACUAUGUGUUGUUGGGUAGGGGAGCGUUCUGUAAGCCUGCGAAGGUGACCUGUGAGGGUUGCUGGAGGUAUCAGAAGUGCGAAUGCUGACAUAAGUAACGAUAAAGCGGGUGAAAAGCCCGCUCGCCGGAAGACCAAGGGUUCCUGUCCAACGUUAAUCGGGGCAGGGUGAGUCGACCCCUAAGGCGAGGCCGAAAGGCGUAGUCGAUGGGAAACAGGUUAAUAUUCCUGUACUUGGUGUUACUGCGAAGGGGGGACGGAGAAGGCUAUGUUAGCCGGGCGACGGUUGUCCCGGUUUAAGCAUGUAGGCUGGUUGUCCAGGCAAAUCCGGAUAAUCAAGGCUGAGGUGUGAUGACGAGGCACUACGGUGCUGAAGUAACAAAUGCCCUGCUUCCAGGAAAAGCCUCUAAGCAUCAGGUAACAUUAAAUCGUACCCCAAACCGACACAGGUGGUCAGGUAGAGAAUACCAAGGCGCUUGAGAGAACUCGGGUGAAGGAACUAGGCAAAAUGGUGCCGUAACUUCGGGAGAAGGCACGCUGGUGUGUAGGUGAAGUCCCUGCGGAUGGAGCUGAGACCAGUCGAAGAUACCAGCUGGCUGCAACUGUUUAUUAAAAACACAGCACUGUGCAAACACGAAAGUGGACGUAUACGGUGUGACGCCUGCCCGGUGCCGGAAGGUUAAUUGAUGGGGUUAUCCGUAAGGAGAAGCUCUUGAUCGAAGCCCCGGUAAACGGCGGCCGUAACUAUAACGGUCCUAAGGUAGCGAAAUUCCUUGUCGGGUAAGUUCCGACCUGCACGAAUGGCGUAAUGAUGGCCAGGCUGUCUCCACCCGAGACUCAGUGAAAUUGAACUCGCUGUGAAGAUGCAGUGUACCCGCGGCAAGACGGAAAGACCCCGUGAACCUUUACUAUAGCUUGACACUGAACAUUGAGCCUUGAUGUGUAGGAUAGGUGGGAGGCUUUGAAGCGUGGACGCCAGUCUGCGUGGAGCCAACCUUGAAAUACCACCCUUUAAUGUUUGAUGUUCUAACGUUGGCCCCUGACCGGGGUUGCGGACAGUGUCUGGUGGGUAGUUUGACUGGGGCGGUCUCCUCCCAAAGCGUAACGGAGGAGCACGAAGGUUAGCUAAUCCUGGUCGGACAUCAGGAGGUUAGUGCAAUGGCAUAAGC
Molecule: ribosomal RNA, 1492 nt
Filed under: Klebsiella pneumoniae
Lineage: Bacteria; Pseudomonadati; Pseudomonadota; Gammaproteobacteria; Enterobacterales; Enterobacteriaceae
Description: partial 23S ribosomal RNA
Rfam family: Bacterial large subunit ribosomal RNA
Source: RNAcentral